Long non-coding RNA from Homarus americanus (American lobster), 233 nucleotides. RefSeq lists it as uncharacterized. The transcript has 3 exons. The record is from RefSeq and is a predicted model, not a curated record. Lineage: Eukaryota; Metazoa; Arthropoda; Malacostraca; Decapoda; Nephropidae.
GCCGUCUGGUUUAUUAUUGUUAGUAAAUGUUAAUUUGUGGGCCUUCCUCCCUCCCUCCUGAAGUUGUGGAUUAACCUUGUUGGCGUUGAAGUAAGGGAGUCCACACUGUGUCUGAGAAGUGUCUCAAGUGGUUCGCCUAUGGAAUACCAUAGGACUUUUGGUCUCCAGUUCAUAUACUGUGAUGUCACAUCUCAAGACCAAGUGUAACUAAGAAGAAGUUCACAAUGUCAAGC